CUGAGUUCAGAACAUCCAAGAGGAAGCCUUUUGCCUUUUUGAACUUCCAGUUUGGAAGCCCCUGCUGAGAGGCUGUGUCUAAAUUUCAGUUUGUCCCCUGGGGUGCAGAGAUCUUGGGGUCUUUUGGACCUUGCCUCUUUUUGUCCCUUGUGGGUUCUCGUUCCUUCAUUUUCAGCCUAUUUUCUUUUAAAAUAAACCCUGUGGUAACCGGGUCUCUGUCAAGGGCAAAAACUCACGUCCCUGUGGUUCCCCAGUUGGAAAGCUCGGGGAAGACUAAAGUCUAUACGAAGAGGACAUCGAUGGAGAAUUCCUCCUGUUCUCGGAGGCGGGGCGACGACACACCGGCACUUGAGGCAGGAGGAGCUGGAGGCUGUUGGGCAUCAUUUUGAUGGAUUUAUCUACAUUUCUCAGGGCGUCCCCCAGGCACGGUCUCUCCGGGAGCUGCCUAAGGGCCUGGAACCAUCAGCCUCCUCUCUCAGGACUGUGGGAACCACCUGCACCAGUUCUGAGAGGCUGAGGUAGAAACUGCAGGAGACUGUGAGGUUGUGGGGCUUCCGUAACAGAUGGGAUGUUACACAGACUGCCUGGGAUCAAGCACCACACACCAGGUGGCGUAAACAACAGAAAUAUUCUGGAAGCUGGAAGUCCGAGACCAAGGUAUGGGCAGGUUAAGGAAAUGUCAUCCAACCUACAGCCAAGACAGGAGCUGUGAUCAACUGGAGGGGACUCAGAGGGCAUUUUCCAACAGCCUGGCGCAAACAGACUAUACCCCACACGUACCGGGGCAGCCAGCCCUGCUCCCCGAGGUGCUGCGGUCAGUCUCCAAGCGUGGGGGCUGAGCCCCUGUGCCCCGUCCUCCUUCCUCCCCCCACUGUGUCCCGGUCUCCAUCACCCCUUUCCUCCCAACACCUCGCUCUGCCAGCACGGUCUUGGAUCACUGUUUCAACUUCCUUCUGAAAUAAAUCUUCUAUU
Molecule: long non-coding RNA, 972 nt
Organism: Camelus dromedarius (Arabian camel)
Lineage: Eukaryota; Metazoa; Chordata; Mammalia; Artiodactyla; Camelidae
Exons: 5
Source: RefSeq, a predicted model, not a curated record